Non-coding RNA from Triticum aestivum (bread wheat), 135 nucleotides. The record is from Rfam. NCBI's taxonomy places the organism in Eukaryota, Viridiplantae, Streptophyta, Magnoliopsida, Poales, Poaceae.
GAUAUACUCCCUCCGUCCGAAAAUACUUGUCAUCAAAAUGAACAAAAAGGGAUGUAUGUAGAACCAAAAUACAUCUAGAUACAUCCCCUUUUAUUCAUUUUGGUGACAAGUAUUUCCAGAUGGAGGGAGUAUAUG